RNAcentral lists this ribosomal RNA (305 nucleotides) under uncultured bacterium. Its description in RNAcentral is "bacterial SSU rRNA". It matches the Rfam family "Bacterial small subunit ribosomal RNA", at positions 333 to 635 of the family's 1533-position model. The record is from RNAcentral.
UUUUCCCUACGGGGCGCAGCAGUGAGGAAUAUUGGUCAAUGGGCUUACGCCUGAACCAGCCAAGUCGCGUGAGGGAAGACUGCCCUAUGGGUUGUAAACCUCUUUUGUCAGGGAGCAACGCCGGCUACGUGUAGCCGGACUGAGAGUACCUGAAGAAAAAGCAUCGGCUAACUCCGUGCCAGCAGCCGCGGUAAUACGGAGGAUGCGAGCGUUAUCCGGAUUUAUUGGGUUUAAAGGGUGCGUAGGCGGUCCGGAAAGUCAGCGGUAAAAGCCCGGGGCUCAGCCCCGGCGAGCCGUUGAAACUG